RNAcentral lists this transfer RNA (63 nucleotides) under Haplobothrium globuliforme. RNAcentral describes it as "tRNA-Pro". The record is from RNAcentral. Lineage: Eukaryota; Metazoa; Platyhelminthes; Cestoda; Haplobothriidea; Haplobothriidae.
CUAACACUAGUUUAAAUAGAAUAGCGGUUUUGGGGAUCGUUGGCCCCAUAUAGAGGUGUUUGA